UCGGUGCAGAUCUUGGUGGUA
This 21-nucleotide non-coding RNA is filed under the name Arabidopsis thaliana (thale cress). Lineage: Eukaryota; Viridiplantae; Streptophyta; Magnoliopsida; Brassicales; Brassicaceae. The record is from RNAcentral.